Molecule: small RNA, 684 nt
Filed under: Rattus norvegicus (Norway rat)
Lineage: Eukaryota; Metazoa; Chordata; Mammalia; Rodentia; Muridae
Description: uncharacterized LOC102551556
Source: RNAcentral
CUGGCCAGGCUUAAUGUCCAUUUAUAAUCAUCUUGUGUUGCUGGAACCUUCUCUUUGGAUAAGAAGACAUUGGCUCAUAACUGAACAAUCCUGCCUCACAAGGAUGAAAGCAUCUUCCUCUCUUUAGAGGACCAGAUGGGUCUGAAAUUCUUGCUUGGGGCCAUAUGGAGGGCCGUGCAGGGAGGGAAUUAUAUCCGGCUUUCUGUUUCUGCUCAACUCUUCCCACCGGGCUGGCCUCCAAAGAUGCUUCAGGCUGCUGAUCAAGAUUAUAUUUAUAGUCAGAGAAAAGGAAGUAAGAUAAAGGAAUCGUACAUGAGGCAGAGACGAUCUGACAGCCACAGCUUGUGUCUGUCUUAUUUGAAAUGUUUGGCUGGCUGGCUGGCUGGCUGUUGGUGACAGGCGAAUGCUCUAUAACUUACACAAGUCUUGGGGGUGUAAACGUUUCCUGACAUGCUUGGCUUUUUAUGAGGAUGCUGGCCAUUCAGACUCAGGUCCUCAUGUUUGUGCAGCAAGAGCUCUUGCCCACCAAGUCAUUUCUCCAGCCCCCUAAUGAUAAAGAAAUUCAGCUGGAAAAGAAGAGAGUUUUCUGGGGAUACGCUGGGGUGGUCAUUUCCCGCCACAUGAAAUGUAUCUCCUAGCCCUGAACUACACACUUGAAAGCAAUUAAAGUUUUUGUUACAUGUA